GCGGCGUGCUUAACACAUGCAAGUCGAACGGAAAGGCCCUGCUUUUGUGGGGUGCUCGAGUGGCGAACGGGUGAGUAACACGUGAGUAACCUGCCCUUGACUUUGGGAUAACUUCAGGAAACUGGGGCUAAUACCGGAUAGGAGCUCCUGCUGCAUGGUGGGGGUUGGAAAGUUUCGGCGGUUGGGGAUGGACUCGCGGCUUAUCAGCUUGUUGGUGGGGUAGUGGCUUACCAAGGCUUUGACGGGUAGCCGGCCUGAGAGGGUGACCGGCCACAUUGGGACUGAGAUACGGCCCAGACUCCUACGGGAGGCAGCAGUGGGGAAUAUUGCACAAUGGGCGGAAGCCUGAUGCAGCAACGCCGCGUGCGGGAUGACGGCCUUCGGGUUGUAAACCGCUUUCGCCUGUGACGAAGCGUGAGUGACGGUAAUGGGUAAAGAAGCACCGGCUAACUACGUGCCAGCAGCCGCGGUGAUACGUAGGGUGCGAGCGUUGUCCGGAUUUAUUGGGCGUAAAGGGCUCGUAGGUGGUUGAUCGCGUCGGAAGUGUAAUCUUGGGGCUUAACCCUGAGCGUGCUUUCGAUACGGGUUGACUUGAGGAAGGUAGGGGAGAAUGGAAUUCCUGGUGGAGCGGUGGAAUGCGCAGAUAUCAGGAGGAACACCAGUGGCGAAGGCGGUUCUCUGGGCCUUUCCUGACGCUGAGGAGCGAAAGCGUGGGGAGCGAACAGGCUUAGAUACCCUGGUAGUCCACGCUGUAAACGGUGGGUACUAGGUGUGGGGUCCAUUCCACGGGUUCCGUGCCGUAGCUAACGCUUUAAGUACCCCGCCUGGGGAGUACGGCCGCAAGGCUAAAACUCAAAGGAAUUGACGGGGCCCCGCACAAGCGGCGGAGCAUGCGGAUUAAUUCGAUGCAACGCGUAGAACCUUACCUGGGUUUGACAUGGAUCGGGAGUGCUCAGAGAUGGGUGUGCCUCUUUUGGGGUCGGUUCACAGGUGGUGCAUGGCUGUCGUCAGCUCGUGUCGUGAGAUGUUGGGUUAAGUCCCGCAACGAGCGCAACCCUUGUUCACUGUUGCCAGCACGUUAUGGUGGGGACUCAGUGGAGACCGCCGGGGUCAACUCGGAGGAAGGUGGGGAUGACGUCAAGUCAUCAUGCCCCUUAUGUCCAGGGCUUCACGCAUGCUACAAUGGCUGGUACAGAGAGUGGCGAGCCUGUGAGGGUGAGCGAAUCUCGGAAAACCGGUCUCAGUUCGGAUUGGGGUCUGCAACUCGACCUCAUGAAGUCGGAGUCGCUAGUAAUCGCAGAUCAGCAACGCUGCGGUGAAUACGUUCCCGGGGCUUGUACACACCGCCCGUCAAGUCAUGAAAGUUGGUAACACCCGAAGCCGGUGGCCUAACCGUUGUGGGGGAGCCGUCGAAGGUGGGACUGGUGAUUAGGACU
RNAcentral lists this ribosomal RNA (1436 nucleotides) under uncultured organism. Its description in RNAcentral is "partial small subunit ribosomal RNA". It matches the Rfam family "Bacterial small subunit ribosomal RNA". The record is from RNAcentral.